CAGAAAGCUGUUUUAUCCGAGAAACAUCUGCCAACAUCCUUGAGAUGGUGCUUUUAACAUCCUUGAAUUAUGCAGACCCUUAUGAAUGGCUCUUAACAGGCUGUGAGCUCCAGACCAAAAAAGGCAUGGACACUUACCAGCUGAGCUCUUCACUUUGGAGUCUAGUGUUUGUUAUCCAGAAAUUCAAAGCGGCUACUAUUCUUCAGCUGGGUCCAAAGGUAGGAAGCUGGGCUCUUUCUGAGAUGGUCAUAUCCUUGGUGUGGCUGAACCCAUUUAACCCCAUUAUUUGAGAACAAAUGCGUUCAUACACAUGAGCGUGUUUAUAUGCACUGAGACGUUUCUCCCUUGGUUUUGCUUCUUGAGUGUCCAGCCAGAAUAAUAGGUUCUUAUAGUCAAAAAGCCUAUGCUUUUAAAUUUUGGGGGAGUGACCACGAAUAAAGCUUCCAAUUCCCUGGACCCU
RNAcentral lists this long non-coding RNA (460 nucleotides) under Ailuropoda melanoleuca (giant panda). Its description in RNAcentral is "lncRNA (ENSAMEG00000024287.1)". Lineage: Eukaryota; Metazoa; Chordata; Mammalia; Carnivora; Ursidae. The record is from RNAcentral.